CCUACGGGAGGCAGCAGUGAGGAAUAUUGGUCAAUGGCCGGAAGGCUGAACCAGCCAUGCCGCGUGAAGGUCAGUGCCCUAUGGGCGUUAAACUUCUUUUGUGCGGGAGCAAUAAUGGUCACGUGUGGCCAGACGAGAGUACCGUACGAAUAAGCAUCGGCUAACUCCGUGCCAGCAGCCGCGGUAAUACGGGGGAUGCAAGCGUUAUCCGGAUUUAUUGGGUUGAAAGGGUGCGUAGGCUGUGAGGUAAGUCAGCGGUGAAAUGCCCCCGCUCAACGGGGUGAAGUGCCAUUGAUACUGCCUGGCUGGAAUGCGGAUGCCGUGGGAGGAAUGUGUGGUGUAGCGGUGAAAUGCAUAGAUAUCACACAGAACACCGAUUGCGAAGGCAUCUCACGAAUCCGCGAUUGACGCUGAUGCACGAAAGCGUGGGUAUCAAACAGGAUUAGAUACCCUUGUAGUC
RNAcentral lists this ribosomal RNA (460 nucleotides) under uncultured bacterium. RNAcentral describes it as "partial 16S ribosomal RNA". It matches the Rfam family "Bacterial small subunit ribosomal RNA", at positions 338 to 795 of the family's 1533-position model. The record is from RNAcentral.